CAAUAGCGUAUAUUAAAGUUGUUGCGGUUAAAAAGCUCGUAGUUGGAUUUCUGCCGAGUCCGACCGGUCCGUCCCUACGGGAACGGCACCUGGAUUAGACGAGGUAUUUCUCGGUGUACGUGUUGGCUACUUGAUUGUGCUGCACGGCCUCCGGGGCAUUUACUUUGAGGAAAUUAGAGUGUUCAAAGCAGGCCGUACGCUUGAAUACAUUAGCAUGGAAUAAUGGAAUAGGACGUCGGGCCUAUUUUGUUGGUUCUAGGACCGUCGUAAUGAUUAAUAGGGACAGUUGGGGCCGUUUAUAUUCCGUAGUCAGAGGUGAAAUUCUUGGAUUUACGGAAGAUAAACUACUGCGAAAGCAUUCGGCAAGGAUGUUUUCGUUAA
Molecule: ribosomal RNA, 381 nt
Filed under: uncultured eukaryote
Lineage: Eukaryota
Description: partial 18S ribosomal RNA
Rfam family: Eukaryotic small subunit ribosomal RNA
Source: RNAcentral